Diabrotica virgifera virgifera (western corn rootworm) is the source of this 10363-nucleotide long non-coding RNA. RefSeq lists it as uncharacterized. NCBI's taxonomy places the organism in Eukaryota, Metazoa, Arthropoda, Insecta, Coleoptera, Chrysomelidae. The transcript has 2 exons. The record is from RefSeq and is a predicted model, not a curated record.
CCGAUUUGGGCUUCGAAACGUUAAUAAAAUCAUCUUUUUGGUAAAAUUGUGGCUUAUUUCCCAUUAAAAAUAGUUGAUUGUAAAAAUACCACAAUAGCUUCAGAACAACAUGUUAUUAUAUUAUUUUUUUUAUUACAUAUUUUAAUUUGUGGUAAUCACUUUUUUUACUUCUAUUUUUUUGUUAUUUUUUUUACUUGUUUUUUUUUUCUUUUCUUUUUUUUGUUUCUAUUUUUUUUAUUUAUUUAUUUUUUUUGUUAUAAUUAUUUUAUUAUAUGUUCUUUUUUAUAUAUUAUUUUUUUUCUUUUUAAUUUUUUCAAACCAAACUAACAAAUUAUUCCUAGUUUACAACUUGUACUUACAUAAUUUAACAUGUUUAUACAUGAGAUGAAGAAUUUCCAUAUCAUUUGUAAAUAUUAAAGUAUUAAGGUUUAUUGGGAAACAACAUUUUAAAUUUUUUAAUUCCUUAUAAAGGUCGUUUAUGUUAUUUAUCUGUAAAUGACAUUCUAAUAUGACAUGUGUUAGAUCUCCGAUUUUGCCACAAGUACAAUUGGGAGUAUCUGCCGGUAUGAAUAUCUAGCCAAGAAAUAUAUACAUGUAUUAUAAGCUAACGAGCGAUCCACAGUUAUUGGGAUCAAAGCUAACCGUACAAAAAAUUACGUAUGUCUUGUUUUAAUCUGAAUUUAUAUCAUUGGUUUAUCAAUUAAUUUUGAUUAACAUUAUAAAACAUAAAAAAUCAGUCAAAACCUUUAACACAGAACUUUAAUCAAAAAUAAAAAGAAUUAACAAAAUUAUAAGUAACAAUAAUAAAUAAAAUCAAACAAGAUGCUGUAUAUGUCCACCACCAACAUCUCUACAUAACCUAACUUUUCUUGUUAAGUUGACGUACACUGCAAAGUUGACGUAAACUGCAAAGUAUGUCUGAAUUAAGAAUAUACAUGCAUUGUAUAGCUAUCUCUGUCGUUCAGAGCCACCUAUGGUGACAAUAAUUUUGGAUCACACGUUAUCAUCAGCCUGUACUGAAUUUACUACGAAUCACAGCCCAAGGGUUAGACUUCGCGCAAGCGCAUUCAAGAAAAAUGAAACGACUUAGUCACGGGCGACUCCACGUUGUGGUUCUAAGGUUAAAAUGUAAUAUGGUCCAAAUAUUGCCAAGAUCGUCGAUAUUUUAUUUGUUUUUAUAAUCAUAUUCCGUAUUUUCUUAAUUUUUUUGUUGGGUAGGUGCUAUUUGUAACUGUGAUUCACACAUAUACUAUCUACAAUCGCUGUAAGCCCACAUUUAUUAUGGCUCUAAAUCUAUUAAGAGAGGUUCACUUACAAUUCUUUUCUUUCGGUUGGUUCAACACAUGCGUAGUUGCCAGAUUUAUCACUACAAAAAGCAACUAAAGACUAAUCCAACAAUUCAUACACUGCAUUACUAAUUCUAAGUUGCUUAUUGAUUAAAAUGUCAGAGAUUUUCAUUCAUUUAUUUAGUAAAUCUCAAGUAGUAAGCUCCUUCUGCUUCUUGCCGGUCAAGGUCUUGGUGAGACGAGGUUGAAAAAUAAAACUUUAAGACUAUAUUAUCGAAAUGUUAACUCUAUAUCUAAAAAAUGUGUUCAACUGAAUGCAGAUGCUUUCAGUAUUACAAUUUGGUGCAAUACACUGUUUCACCAAAGACCAACCAACAACGAUCGAUCUAGUUUAGAAUCUGGUGGAGAAAGUGCUGAGAAUGACGUCUGAGAAGUCGAUUCGGGAGCGUUAGAAUUUUUUAUAUCGAAAUUUAGCAGUACAGAGCAGUACAGGUAGAUAUUUUUUUGUUUUUAGACGGCCAAGUGGGGACUGAAUGAAUCUUUGCCACUAUUUAAGCUUUCUAGAUACGCCAAUUGGAAUGAAUUAGUCAUUUUUAUAUAAAUUUAGCUUGAGACUUUUAUACAAAUUAUAUCGGUAAAACUUUAUCAUAAAAACUUAAUUAUAAAAUAAUAAGUGGCUGAACAAUCGGUAUACAAAGGCUGAAGAAAGUUUGUAUGAAUUUACCAAACCAGUUCACAGGAACUGAACUUGAUAUUAUAGAAAAUAACAUGUCACUCAGUUUCCAGGCUCAACUUGUGUCGAAUUUGUACCAGGUCAAGCUUUCGACUUCCGAUCUGCCGUCUUCAUCACAACGUAUUCCUUCUUAGUCCACAGGUAACUUUACUACUACACUCCCUGACGCUAUAAACUGCACUAUUGUAAUAUUUAGUGCCAGUAAGUGCAUUAGUGAAGGAAUCUUGUGAUUUUGGACACUUAGAUCCGGGAGUAUGUCAUGAUGAAGACUCUAGCGAGUGGGUCGAAUGCGCAACGUUGCCAAAUUUCACAUGUUUCAACCCGGAAAAUGAAUAAGUUUAAUAUUAACGAUCAAAUAUAAGAUGCAAGCUAUUCUGGACUUUUUACGACCCUUUAUACCAAGAGAGAAUAUUAUACGACGCCGAUGUGUUCUUUCAUCUCACGAGAGCUCUUACUGAUACAAAAACGUUUAUAUGAAUACAAUUGUCACAUUGACAAUUUAGUUUAAAUAUCAGUUCACUAGAUUUUAAACUGACUACUAAAUCUCAAAGAUUCGACAUCAAGAAUGAAACAUAUAUUGGUCAUAAAUAUUUGUUUGCAAGUUGUCUUUCCACAACCGACACAACUAUUCUUUUUGUCCAAUUUUUGGGAUCGUAUCUAUCCAAUAUCUUUAUAUGUGCAUAAAGUGCUUAAAUUUUACAAGAUAUAUGUAUAUCAGUUGAAGUUUUAUAUUUAGUUCAGUCCCAAUCAUGAUAUAUUUCACUAAUUUCCUGUUAUUUUAUUAUAUCUAAUUUAUUUACUGUUUUGAACACUUUUAUAGUUCCUCCACUAACCUCUUCGACUUUAGAGCAAAAUUGCUGUAUAUUAAUAUGGCGAACAAAGUGUGGGCAACUUGAAAAAAAAAAAACGUACGUUAUAUUGGAUAGAUAAAAGGUCAGCAAAUCGAUCGAUCAUACUAUAGAUAGUAUUAAAUAAUUGUAAAUACUAUUUAUUACAAUUUCUAGAGGUACAAAACUACGGAAUGAUCAAAAUAAUUGUUAAACAUAAAAAUAUAAUUUAUUAAAUAAAGCCUGUAACAUUUCGUUUUUAAAAAAGAUGUUUGUAGGAUAUCAUACCGACAUGGACGGUACUUUGUACGAAUGAUUUUUAAUAGUUUUUGCACGAUAUUGGAGAUUUUGAAUCUGUUCGUUGUAGUGUCGUUGAUACAAGAAUUUGCUUAUUUUAAUAUUUUUAGUGAGUUUAUACAGGGUGUAUCAUUAAGAAUGUCCAAUCUCUGAGUUGUAGAUUCUAGACCUCAAAAUAUUAAGAUUUAACCCAAAUCAUUUAAAUAAAAUGUGUCUCAUUACUGAGUUACAGGGUGUUUUAUUUAAAAAUUUAAUAAUUAGUUUUACCCAGUACUUUAAAACUAUUUGACAUAUCCUUGUCAUACUUUGCAGAAAGUGUAGGUAGGUAUACCCUUCUAAAUUAUGAUAAACAAACGCUUCUGGCUAGUACCAGAGGCGUACGACAGGGGACUGUGAAUGGUUAACCCCCCCUCAAAUUCUACGCCACUUGCAGAUUUGCUAUUUUAGCACAAUUUUUCGAUUUUCCAAUACUCUCUAUGUAAAGCCUUCACUCGUAACGAUAAAGUCAUUAGUUUUCGAGAUACAUAUUUGAAGUUAACCAUGUCACGGCACAGAUAUUUUGAUUAAUAUAGUACUGGGUACUAGAAGACUGUAGAAGUAUUGUAUGUAAUUUAAGUGAUAUAAGUAAAUCUUAAUAUUUUGAGGUCUAAAAUCUCCAAUUCAGAGAUUGGAAAUUCUUAAUGAUACACCCUCUAUACAGGGUGUCCCGGAAAAUAGUGCGUUCCUUCAAGGUACGGGCAAACUGCACCAUUUAUAGCAAAAAAGUCUGAUAAUUUUUUUUUGUAAAGUCAACCGUUUUCAAAAAAAUAAUUUAUUAAUUUUAAUACAUUUGAUUAAUGUCCACAGAAAUGCAAAUACAGCCGGCAACGCUGCGUUCCUUCUGUGUAAAAAUAAUUUUACUGGAACUUAACUAUCAUGAAUCAUCGACCAUUAGGCAUAAUAUUAUGUAUUGAUAAAAUACUGAUAACAGUGAUAGAAAAACAGCAUAUUAUUUGUGUUUAUUAAAUAUAUAAUAAAUAAGGUUAAGGUAUUAAAUAUCUAUCGGUAGAACAUGUUACAAAAAAUUUGAGUAUUACAUUUCUCCAUUCAAUCUUCUGGGAAGUUCGAGUGGUUCAAUCAGGGGUCGUAUUUUCGAAUUCAAUCGAAUUUGUUCGCAUACGAGUUAACUCGAAUAAAAAAUUUCGUAUACGAAUCUGAAUCUGUAUUUUUGAACGUUCUUCGAAAUGUUAUACGUGUACGAGAAGAAUUUGCACCGGCAACGCUGCAAAUUCGAACAACAUUGGGCUCAACCUUCAUCUGAAGAGUCACAGUGUUGUCAUACUUAUUUUAUUAAUUUCUUGUAUAAUUUCAAUCAAUGAUAUAAUCACAUUAUUAAAAAAAUAGCUAAAAUAUUAGCUGGAAUCGAAUCUUAAGCUUGCAUAAUAUUAGUAAUAUCGGUUUGCAAAGUCCACUAUUUUGUUUAUUAUUAUUUUUGUAUCCAGUAUUUACACUAAUAUUUUACUAGUUUUUUGGUGUUUCAAAACAAUUUUUUAAAUGCACGUUUAUAUAAUGUGAUAGUAUGAAAAAAUUGAGAAUUUACACUGAUAUUUUACUAUUUAAUUUUCAAAACAAACUGAGGUGUUUCAAAACUAUUUUUAAAAACUUUAUAUAAUGGGAUAGUAUGAAAAAAUUGAGGAUAUGGCAACGGUGUCAUAUGUCAAGCUUAGAGCUUACAUCCAAUGCUAGAAUACGUACAUAAAGUUAGGUUAGGUUAUAUAUUCAAUGCAUUAUCGUACAGUAUGUCGUUUCCUUCUAUUAAAAAAAUAUUUUAAACCACCCAUUGAAAAGAAAGUUCAAUGUAAAAAUAUUGUAUACAACAACGAUUAAAACCAUCAAUGACAACUGAAAUGACCUUGAAAUGACAACAAAACAAUUCGUAUACGAGCAUCCAAAUUCGAAUGGUUCAUACCCAUUCGAGUCAUCGUAUACGAAAAAAUUCGUACACGAAGUAUUCGAAAAUACAAAAAACUGGAUUUCGAGCGAAAUUCUUCUAAUUUCGUAUGCGAAAUAUACUCGAAUGAAUUCGAAAAUAGGGCCCCUGAGAUGAUUACUAAUAAUCCCAGCCUUUAUAUUAGUACUUUUGGCAUUAUUAAAGUAAAACACACACACACACACACACCAUUUCUCGUAAAACAAGCUUUAUCUGCACACAACACUUUACACAUUUUGUUUUGAAACCAUCUACAAAUCCUUAAACUUCGAGGUAAAUCGCCUUGGUGUACCUAAAUAUUGCACUAAUUAUACACUAUAGGAACGUAAUUAACAUGAUACUUGCGAUCGAAAUCAUGACAAUACCACAACAAUACAAUGUAUUCUCGGGUUACAGGUAAUUAUGAUAUUAUGACUGUUUGUGUUUACAAUUUUAAAUAUCUUCGCUAUGUCAAAAUAAAUAAAACUGCCGGGUUGCCAAAUGUAAAUUUUAUUAAAAGACAUUAUUUAAUUUUUUUGAGGCAGCAGAUGACGUUAGAAAAAAAUUUAUAAGAAAGUUUUCUCUUAAAUGGUGCAUUCUACCCACACCUUUAAGGAACGCACUAUUUUCCGGGACAUCCUGUAUAACAUAAGCGUUUUUACAAUAUUGCACUUGUUUGGAGUAUUGAUUGGAGUAAAACACUAUUUUGGUUAUAGGAGAUAGUGAAUUUUGAAAAGUAAGUAGAUUUGCCAGGAACACCAAAAUGUUAGUCGUGUAGUGUUUUUUUGUCCAACUGACCGUCUGGGAAUCAGUGCAGCUAACGUGUAGCCAGUUUUGCUACCAGCAAAAAGGCAAAAUCUAUCAAGAAAGUUACUAAGGCUAAAAAAACCGUAUCGUAAACAGACUUAUUUCUCAUUGAGUGCCCAUUACAGAAUCUCACGAGGAACUAUAUCAUAUGCUUUCUCAAGAUCAAUGAAUAAUUUUUACUUAAUUUUUGUAUUUUUUCAUCAACUGUCUUAUAAUGAUAAUUAUUGCAUGUUGUUGAUCCGUCACUCACACAGUCAAACUGAUUACUUGUAGCAGAUAUUUCAUUUUCUUCAGUAUCUUUCUCUCAUAAUGCUCUCCACACUUCCCCAGGAGUAUCAGCUGGUCCAACCGCUUUUCCUAUCUUUAUUUUUUUAACUACUUCUUAGUGUUUGUUAUUUUGGUAACCAUUGCUGUUACUGUCUCCAUUAACUGAACUGGUUUUUUGUCAAAUUCUUAUUUGAUAAACCCAUCUCUUUUUUACAUCCUUUUUUUGAUGAUGAUACAUUAAAAUGAUGAUAAUUAUAUCUGACAUAAAAAAAAAUUGAAAUAUAUUCAAAACAUAGCUUCUAUAACCAAAAAUACUAUUAUCAGAACUACAAGUAUACAGAAAAAGAACAUUUAGUAGCAUUAGAUUUUUUUAAUGCUGAAUUUUGCAAUACAGUCUUUACUUAUUUAAAUUUUUUUGCACUUUGUGGUUCUGUUGUAAGGACCAUGAAAUUUUCAGUAUGAUUUUUUUUUGGUAAAUGAAUAUUUUUUUAUAAAAGAACGAACAUCAGGGAUUAUAUAUACGUAAAAACAUAGAGUUCAAUAUUAGAAUUUGUGAAGUAUCUAAUGUUCUUUUGGAUAUUAAAUGUUUACAAACCCGAAAUACACCUUAACACAAAAUUAGAACAGACUCAUAGUCUCUUUUUGUACAUGAACAAAUGUAAGUUAUUUGCCAUAAUAAUUUGAAAAGUUGUAGAUUUAUGUAGGAAGUGUAAAAUUCAUUCAAACGAGCGCAUAAUUUUUAUUUACCAAAAAUGUACGUGCUUAAGAUUAUAUAUUUUAUUCUACAGCUUUUACUCCUAUUAUAUUAAAAAUUAAACAUUAAUAAUUGUUGAUUUUUACAAUAUAAUUAUUGAAGAAAACCACAAAAAACUAAUAACAAUAGAUAAUUUCGAAUCAUAUACCGGGUGUUAACUUAUAUUUUCCCCCAUUUUAACUGCCUAUAAUUUCUAAACGGCUCAAGAUAGAAAUAUACGGUUUUCGCUGAAAUGUUUUAUUUUAGUAAAAGUUUUGUUUGAAUAAAUUGAAAUUUUUAUAUCGCUUUUAAAAAAAAUGGCGAAUUUUUGAAAAAAAAAACGUUUUUGACUUUUUUUUUAAUGAAACACUCAUGUAUAUUUUUUUGUAAAUUGAAAGAACGGUCAUUCACGUAUCCGGCGAUAUAAAGUUUUUUAAAAUCGGUUGUAAAAUGACUGAGUAAUUAAUUUUUAAAAUGAGAGAUGCAAUGUGGAAAUCACAUAACAUAAUAUCAAUUUUCUUAGUUAUGUGAUAUACACGUUGCAUCUCUCAUUUUAAAAAUUAAUUACUCAGUCAUUUGACAACCGAUUUUAAAAACUUUGUAUUGCUGGAUAGGUGAAUGACCGUUCUUUCAAUUUACAAAAAAAUAUAUUGGGUGUUCCAUUAAAAAAAGUCAACAACGUUUUUUUCAAAAAUCCGCCAGUUUUUUCGUAAUUGAAAGCGUAAUAAAAAAUUAUAUCCAUUCAAACAAAACUUUUACUAAAACAAGACAUUUCAGCGUAAACCGCAUAUUUCUAUCUUGAGCCGUUUAGAAGUUAUAGGCAGUUAAAUGGGGGAAAAUAUAAGUGGACACCUGGUAUUAUGUGAAAGGGUACCCCCGUUAACAAAGGCAUAAGGCCGUCUAACAGAAUUAGUAAAUUGCUUUUAAAAAACUUGAAUACUCUUUAUAGACCCCUUAGCAAUUUAUAUUAAUUUCCUUUCCGUGUAGCUUGAGUGUACAUAACCUAGAAAUUAAUUUUUUAAGCUGCAGAGUUUAUUUUUUUUUUAUUUUUUUGUAUUUUAUCAAAAAAUAUAUUUUUUCCGUAAGUUGUAUCUUCAAAACCUAUAAAAUUGGUUUUUGGCAGUUUUCCUUAUUUUAUUGACUUCAAAAUAGAUAAAAUUAAGGUUACUUUAUACGUUUUAUAUAAUUUGAAGUUACUAAUUCCUUCAGAAUGUUAAAAAAUUAUACGAAACACCUUUUACCCCCCGUAAAACCAUGUUUUUCACGGUUUUUAAGUUUUAUUGCGGGUAUAAUAAUAUUUUUUGAGAUCGAUGUCUCGUGUAUUUUAAGAACAUACUUUGAAACGUGACAUUGAAUGGCUCAUAACUCAAAAAAAAAAAUAGAAAAAUUCAGCAAAAACACCCAAAAACAUUUGAAAAACGGAUUUUUUGCAUGUUUCAAGAAAUCUCUGAAUAUGGAAAAUACAUCGUUUUAUGAUAUUUUAUAAAAAAAUUUAAAACAUGUUUAAUAAUGUAAAGAUUUUUUUUAAAGUAGAGUAAAUCAAGGAAAAAUCCCGGAAUAACCCUCGAAAACAUGGUUUUUCGCAUAUGAUUGUAUUUUCUUUUUUGAGGCCUGAAACUAUUAUUUUUCAUAUUUUUUUUAAUAUGAAUGAAUUGAAGACGCAUUGAUUCAGGUUGUAUGGAUCUCAAAAACUGGGAUUAACCACACAAAAACCUGGUUUUUGGGGCGUUAAAGGCGUUUCGCCCAAUUUUGUAAUGCCCUGAAGGAAUCAGUUACUUCAAAUUACUUAUAAUAACCUAUAAAAUCUUGAUUCAAUAUAUUUUAAAGUCUAUAAAAAUGGAAAAUACCCAAAAACCACUAAAAAACUAGUUUUUUGGUUUUUGAAGGUUGUGCACUUUGCGGAAAAAUCUAGAAAAAACAGAAAUAUAUUUUUUGAUAAUAUACACAAAUAAAUUAGACCUACAGCCAUCUCAAAAAAAAGUUAUACACUUAAAAAAAUCAUUUUUAGGCUCAACUAUGCGUGUGAAUUUCUUGAAAAUUUUAAAUCGAUUCCAACUGACGGAAAAUAAUAAAACAAAAAAUUACGUUUUUGGGGGUAUUUUGCCUAUCUCAACGGAGCGCAUCUUGCUUAUGUUUAAGGGGGGUAGCUUUUAAUUAUAGGAUAUAAGACUUCUUGUUAACGACCCGGUUUUUUAGCUGUGUCAGCUGACAAUCGAAGAUGCGUGCCCAUGGCUCAAACUGAUCCUGUAUCAACAUCAAUUUUAUAACAGGUGAUUCAGUAAAACGGUACGAUUUGGCAACGCUGCUGAGUAUAAAAUAGAGGUGCCGCGGGCUUGCGACGUAAACGUUGUGAAUCUCGAGAGGGGGAAGUUUAGAGUUUAGUUAUCAGUUAUCAUGGAGACGUGGUCGGGUAAACAACGCGCAUUUGCUGUGAAAGCUUAUUACAAAAAUGGUGGAAGUUGUGUGCGUGUACAACGAGCGUUUCGUUUAGAUUACCAUUUUCCGCUCCGCGCUGCAGUUCCGUCUAACAUAGCUAUAAGACUUUGUUUAGGAUCUUUGAAAGUAGUGGUUCAACAUCACAGAAAAGAGGUGGCAGUGUCAGAACUGACUUGGGUGUAAUGGAUUUCGCACCGCUUAAAUAAUCUGAGGUGUGUGAGCAGUUCUGAUACUGCCACCUCUUUUCUGUGAUGUUGAACCACUACUUUCAAAGUUCCUAAUCCAAGUCUAAUAGACAUGUUAGACGGAACUGCAGCGCGGGGCGACAAAUGGUAGUCUAAACGAAACGCUCGUUAUACAUACACAAAACUUUCACUAUUUUUGUAAUAGCCUUUAAACUUCCCACUCUCUAGAUUCACAACGUUUACGUCACAAUCCCGCGGCACCUCUAUUUUAUACUCAGCAGCGUUGCCAAAUCGUACGGUUUCACUGAAUCACCUUGUAUUAAAAUCCGUAUAGUCAGAUGAGGCACUGUAAACCUUACAUAGCCCCGGCUACAAACCGGUCGUUCACAAAAGCUCUAAAGGUACAGGAAGUAUCUGAAAAUUUGACACAUGUUUAAAUAAAUAUAUAAAUACUGCUUGGAUUGUAGGCAUCGAAAAAAGAUUGGUUCAAAACAACAAAGUGUGCCAUAAACGUACAACACCUGUUUACUUUUAGUACAAACGAAUAUUAUUCCUAAAGAGGAACUUUUAUUUUUUAUUAUAUUUUUUAAUUUGUUGAUAUGCGCUCGAAUUGAUGGAUUUUUGAUGUCAAUGCGUUUAGGACUAACCAAAAUUGUUAUCAGAUUUCGUGUAUCAAAAGAUUGUUAUCAUCAGAUGGUUAAGUAGUGAGAUAUGUUUGUUAUGUUGUAUUUUAUGUUAGAUUGUAUAGUUUCAUUAAUAUAUUAUUUCUUUUGUUUAUAACUGAAUGUAUAUAUUGUCAUUUAAGGUAUUUAAAAGUUAAAAAAUUAUAAAAAACAAAUUUGAA